AUAUUGCGCAAUGGAGGAAACUCUGACGCAGCAACGCCGCGUGCAGGAAGAAGGCCCUUUGGGUCGUAAACUGCUGUAGCAGGGGAAUAACGGUCUCCCACGGGGAGACGUGAAGGUACCCUGAAAGUAAGCUCCGGCUAACUACGUGCCAGCAGCCGCGGUAAUACGUAGGGAGCAAGCGUUGUCCGGAUUCACUGGGUGUAAAGGGUGCGUAGGCGGGACAAUAAGUCAGUGGUGAAAUCUUACGGCUCAACCGUGAAACUGCCAUUGAUACUGUUGUUCUUGAGUUCGGGAGAGGUUGAUGGAAUUCCAGGUGUAGCGGUGAAAUGCGUAGAUAUCUGGAAGAACACCAGUGGCGAAGGCGGUCAACUGGCCCGAAACUGACGCUGAGGCACGAAAGCGUGGGGAGCGAACAGG
This 417-nucleotide ribosomal RNA is filed under the name uncultured bacterium. Its description in RNAcentral is "bacterial SSU rRNA". It matches the Rfam family "Bacterial small subunit ribosomal RNA", at positions 361 to 776 of the family's 1533-position model. The record is from RNAcentral.